UACAGAGGGUGCAAGCGUUGUUCGGAAUUACUGGGCGUAAAGCGCGUGUAGGCGGCUAUGUAAGUCGGGCGUGAAAUCCCACGGCUCAACCGUGGAAGUGCACCCGAAACUGCGUAGCUAGAGUCCUGGAGAGGAAGGUGGAAUGCUUGGUGUAGAGGUGAAAUUCGUAGAUAUCAAGCGGAACACCGGUGGCGAAGGCGGCCUUCUGGACAGUGACUGACGCUGAGACGCGAAAGCGUGGGGAGCAAACAGG
This 253-nucleotide ribosomal RNA is filed under the name uncultured bacterium. RNAcentral describes it as "partial 16S ribosomal RNA". It matches the Rfam family "Bacterial small subunit ribosomal RNA", at positions 524 to 776 of the family's 1533-position model. The record is from RNAcentral.